This 544-nucleotide ribosomal RNA is filed under the name Paratylenchus colinus. RNAcentral describes it as "eukaryotic LSU rRNA". It matches the Rfam family "Eukaryotic large subunit ribosomal RNA", at positions 386 to 813 of the family's 3401-position model. Lineage: Eukaryota; Metazoa; Nematoda; Chromadorea; Rhabditida; Tylenchulidae. The record is from RNAcentral.
CGGAUAGAGCCAGCGAAGCUGCUCGCAUUCAGCCGAAAGCCACAGGCCUCGGGCGGUCUGGAUGCUAAUCGCGCCUGAUUGUCUAUUCGCUUGUGGUUGAGGUGCAUUUGUGGGUAAUUGCGCUGAGACUUGUGGGGUAGUGGCUAGACGCGUGCAUAGAGGCUUCCCUCUGGGUUGAACCUUUGUACAUCGAUGGCUAUUUACUCUGCUCGUAAUCGGGCUUGGCCUACGGGCCUGUGCGUUUCUGUUGCGGCCGUACGGUGAAGUCGCWUGCGAUUUCUAGUUCGGUCGUCGUAGUUGCGUAUAGUGCUCUCAAGUCUGCUCUCGGUGUAGAAGCUGGUCAUCUAUCCGACCCGUCUUGAAACACGGACCAAGGAGUUUAACGUAUGCGCGAGUCAUUGGGUGUUGAAAACUCAUAGGCGCAAUGAAAGUGAAGGCCCAGUCGCUGGGCUUACAUGCGAGUGGUCAGACUGCGGUUUGGCCAUGCAGCAUGGUCCCGUUCCAAUCGCAUGCGAUGGAGCGGAGAUAGAGCGUAUGCGUUGAG